AUGGAGGUUCUGAUUUCAGCUGUGGUGGGUGAUCUUGUCAGCCGGUUCAUCUCUUUCCUGGCGCAAAAUUAUGGCACUCAAACAUGUGUGGAGGAGGACCGUAGAAGGCUGGAACGCAUCUUACUAAGGAUGCACAUGGUUGUUGAGGAAGCAGAGGGGCGGCAAAUCACAAAUCGAGGGAUGUUCCUGCAUCUGAAGACACUCAUCGAUGGUGUGCAUCUCGGGUACUACAUGCUUGACAGGCUCAAGUUCCAAUCCCUUGGAGAAGAGAGCGUUGAAGAUGAUGAGGUGAGUAACUGGAGCCAGUCUCUUGCCGUUUCUACUUUUAGCGCCGCCAAGCGUCUUCGUCUUGCUGUUGCUGCUUCUAUAAUGAAGAACGCACCAGUAGCAUUUGGUACUGGGAGCACGACAAAUUUGAAAAGGGUUCUUGAAAGUUUAGAGGCCAAGACUGCAGAUAUGAGAGAGUUCGUCGUGCUCCUCGGCAGCUGCCCUCGUCUUCCUCGUCAGCCAUACUGUGUGCACCUAUACAUGGAUAAGUGCAUGUUUGGUCGCCACGUUGAGAAAGAGCAACUCAUCAACUUCUUGCUAUGUGAUGACAGUCAUCACGAUUGCACACAUAUUAGCAUCCUGCCGAUCAUCGGCCCACACAGAAUCGGGAAGAAAACUCUGGUGCAGCAUGCUUGCAAGGAUGAGAGGGUGUGCAAUCAUUUCUCCCACAUGUUUUUCUUCAAAGGAGAUGAUCUACGGAACGGAGUAUUUGCAUUUAACAACCAGGCAGCCUCAGGGAAGUACUUGUUUGUUGUGGAUUUCAUCUUCGAUGUGGAUGAGGCAGCAUGGACAAACUUCCAAUCAUAUCUGCAGAAGUUGCCAGGUGCUGGGAUCAAAAUUGUAGUGACAGGCAGAGCAGAGCAAGUUGCAAACUUGGGGACUGCUCAACCGAUCAGGCUGAAGAGUCUGUCUCAAGAAGAGUACUGGUACUACUUCAAGGCACUUGCCUUCGGAAGCAUGGAUCCUGAUGAUCAUCCGAAACUGGCAUCUUUGGGCAUGCAACUAGCGGCGCUCCUACAGGGAUCAUUUCUUGGUGCAAACAUACUCGGCGAGCUACUAAGAGCUAAUCCAAGCACAGAAUUCUGGCGCGGAGUAUUAUCGAGCAUAAGAGUACUUGUUCGCGAGCACAUGUCGUCCUUCGGCACGCACCCGGAGGACCUCCUUGGUAGAAAUUUUCCUGUGAAUUUCGGCAGUGCGGCCUUGGUGGGUGGUCCGGCUCAGGGAUACCUGGUGUAUGAUCUUAGGGAGGCUGGCCCUGCUCAAAGUGAGCUGCCAAAACUGACAUCGCAAGAACUACUGACAGGCCGUGAUAUACCUGUUGAAGACAAGUUUGAGGUGCUAGUAUGGAGAUCUCGGAUCCCGCCUUACUGCGACUACGUUGUUACUUACGAAAAACAGAAGAAUCAUGUGGCAGUGAGAAAACGUCAGCGCAAAAGUUAA
RNAcentral lists this ribosomal RNA (1488 nucleotides) under Triticum aestivum (bread wheat). Its description in RNAcentral is "partial small subunit ribosomal RNA". The record is from RNAcentral. Lineage: Eukaryota; Viridiplantae; Streptophyta; Magnoliopsida; Poales; Poaceae.